Molecule: long non-coding RNA, 1522 nt
Organism: Betta splendens (Siamese fighting fish)
Lineage: Eukaryota; Metazoa; Chordata; Actinopteri; Anabantiformes; Osphronemidae
Exons: 2
Source: RefSeq, a predicted model, not a curated record
CUCAGUUGCUUUCUGAAUUGUUGCUUGUGGCCUUUCUCGCCUCUGGCCUGUCAUGAGAGCCCUUUCUCCUCCCAUUGUGAGACUGUUUUCACUUUGUUCCCUCUGCUCUCACCUCGUUCUCCGCCCUUCGUCCGUCCCUAUCUCUCUCCCGCGCCGGUGAAAGAAACGCCUCCCGGGCCUUGGAAUCGCACGCGCGCGCGCGCUCCUCCGGUGUCGUCGCCGUGUGAGAGCGAGGUCUCUGAGGUUGUUUGCGCUCGCGCCAGACACAGCAGCUCCGCUGUUUGUUUGCAGUUUCCACUGACUCCGACCCCCCCACCCCCUCCCUCCUCAAACCCAUGGGAAUUUGUGGAUCAGCAUCUUCUCAAAAAGCUCUUGGGCGUUAAGAGCGUGUAACUGAGGCACAGACGGAGUGCAAUGAGUGCAGUCAUUAUUUUUAUGUGGUGCCUCUGAUGUCUUCUGUGUGACUUAGUUUAUAGUGAGGGGUGACAGGGGACGGGGGCACUGGUUCAGGAAGCUGUUGGCACCCAACACCCGGAUCUGAUGUGGGUUCUUUCGUCUGUGCAAAUCUUUCUAGGUUUUAUUUUGAAUGGAUGCGCGUUUAUAUUCGUGUUUGUUUUCAUUUGUAUUAAUCCUAAGCAUAGAGUAUAUCACAACAAGGCAGACUGAUUCAUUUAUUAAAGUGUGAUAACAUACAUUAAAUAGGCCUCCUUACUUGCGUGCCACGCAUUUAAUCAACCUAAAUACUAAAAAUAAGACUCAUAUACGGUAGGAAAGCGCCGUGAGCUGUAGUUAUAUUUAAUUACUGUUAUGUAUAGUUGCGGCUUUUGUGUUCUAUAUCAGUUCAGGUCCCAUGAUGAUAUCCACACAUUGUUUAUGGGUAUUGUUUGCAAUCAGCAUAUGAAAGCCCAGUAAAUAAUUGUGUUAUUGGGUUGUUUUGGCCCGGUUUGUGCCGGUGUCCCGACGGUGGGAUGCGAGCGCGCCUCGUGUCUGCUGCUUCAGGGCAGUCAGUGAUGUCACACACUCACGGCCCCACAGCCUCGGCGCCGCUUCCUCCAGAUAUGCACAGGAGCGUGAGUUUCACUGAAUGGGGAAGAUAAAGAAAGGAACGACGCGAUGAAGAAAAAGAGCAACACAACACAGGCAAGGGCAAACAUUCAACGUUUAAGUCCUUUCACUUCAAAUAUUUAUAGCAUAAUUAACAUGAAUGCAGCAGCCACUAGUGCUGCAAUACACCGCAGCCUUCUCAUGAAGCUGUUAAUGCACAUAGAUUGGAAAUUAGUCGCAUGCAUUUCAGAACAACGUAUGCAUGAAAGGAAUAGUAUUGCUACAGCCUCUAAUGUAAACUCUGAGCCCUGUGUCUGUUGGAAUAAUCAUAACAAUUUAGACAUGAGGAAACAAAGGCACCAUUGGGGAUAUUAAUUCAUACACUGUGUAAACCUCUGUGUACGUACGGCAGUUUAACGUGUAUCGAUUGUAUGAAAAACCGAGGCCAUAUAAUGAAUAAAAGCACUUUCUACCAGCA